This is a long non-coding RNA of Daucus carota subsp. sativus, 554 nucleotides long. RefSeq lists it as uncharacterized. The transcript has 2 exons. Lineage: Eukaryota; Viridiplantae; Streptophyta; Magnoliopsida; Apiales; Apiaceae. The record is from RefSeq and is a predicted model, not a curated record.
GUAAUAAAUUUACUCAAAAAAAUAAAGAAAACGAAAAACAUCCUCGUAUAACAUAUGUUCUUCAUUACCGCAUUAUCAUCUACUUCACUCCGUGUGUAGAAUAAGAAAACUGAUUUGGGAUUUCAUAUCUUCUUUCUCCCUUAGAUUGUAAGGUGAAAAUCAUGGAUUCUGAAGCUCAAGGAUUUAACCCAGGCCUGAUAGUCCUUCUCGUUGUUGGCGGUCUACUCUUUGCAUUCCUUGGUGGGAAUUAUGCACUCUACACCUAUGCGCAAAAGAGCCUUCCUCCCAGGAAGAAGAAGCCUGUCUCUAAGAAGAAGCUCAAAAAGGAAAAAUUGAAGCAAGGUGUCAUUCCACCUGGAGAGUAGACUGCUGCGGCAGUCGCAAUCUUUCCUCUUAUGUUGAGGAAUUGCUAUCACCGUCCAUUAGGUUGAGAACCUUUGUGUUGAUGGUUGUCUAGACUUUUAUCAUCAUUGUAUGUGCAGAAUCAUGUGUAGACCGAGUUCGAGUAACAUUUUUACUUGAUCCUCAAUAAAUCUCCCUAUUUGGAAAGUUUA